Molecule: transfer RNA, 83 nt
Filed under: Candidatus Omnitrophota bacterium
Lineage: Bacteria; Pseudomonadati; Candidatus Omnitrophota
Description: tRNA-Leu
Rfam family: tRNA
About the family: Transfer RNA (tRNA) molecules are approximately 80 nucleotides in length. Their secondary structure includes four short double-helical elements and three loops (D, anti-codon, and T loops). Further hydrogen bonds mediate the characteristic L-shaped molecular structure. tRNAs have two regions of fundamental functional importance: the anti-codon, which is responsible for specific mRNA codon recognition, and the 3' end, to which the tRNAs corresponding amino acid is attached (by aminoacyl-tRNA synthetases). tRNAs cope with the degeneracy of the genetic code in two manners: having more than one tRNA (with a specific anti-codon) for a particular amino acid; and 'wobble' base-pairing, i.e. permitting non-standard base-pairing at the 3rd anti-codon position.
Source: RNAcentral
GCCGAGGUGUUGGAAUGGCAGACAAUCUGGUCUCAAAAACCAGUGGGGGCAACCCCGUGCGGGUUCAAGUCCCGCCCUCGGCA